RNAcentral lists this ribosomal RNA (164 nucleotides) under Synostemon albiflorus. RNAcentral describes it as "5.8S ribosomal RNA". It matches the Rfam family "5.8S ribosomal RNA". From Rfam's summary of the family: 5.8S ribosomal RNA (5.8S rRNA) is a component of the large subunit of the eukaryotic ribosome. It is transcribed by RNA polymerase I as part of the 45S precursor that also contains 18S and 28S rRNA. Functionally, it is thought that 5.8S rRNA may be involved in ribosome translocation. Lineage: Eukaryota; Viridiplantae; Streptophyta; Magnoliopsida; Malpighiales; Phyllanthaceae. The record is from RNAcentral.
AAAACGACUCUCGGCAACGGAUAUCUCGGCUCUCGCAUCGAUGAAGAACGUAGCGAAAUGCGAUACUUGGUGUGAAUUGCAGAAUCCCGUGAACCAUCGAGUCUUUGAACGCAAGUUGCGCCCAAAACCUUCGGGUCGAGGGCACGUCUGCCUGGGUGUCACGU